UUUGUAUCAUUUCCAGUACAGAAUAACUUUGCCAUACAUAGGAAGAUACAUUAGCAGAUUUAGGAAAAAAAGAUAAACAAUCAUAUGUAGUCUGCUUCAUUUUUUUCAUGUGGUAAACGUAGGAAGAUUCCUUUAAGUAAUUAAUCCAAUAACUAAAAACUCUUCCCUUUUUCUCCCCUAUGGCUGCCUUCCCCAUAUUCUUACAUGGUUGGGUGGGAGGCACUCUCAAUCCUCUAUGUCACAGCAGGUGUCUAUUACUGAGUUAAGAUUAGAGUUUGGGUGUGAUGGAUGGGCUUGCAAGGGAAGGAGCCCACUGGUGGCAUUCACCACUGCGAAGACUGGUCAUUAUCAAAGUGAACAAUAUCAAUUCAGUUAAACCAGUCACAAAUGUUUCAUCUGAACUGCAGUUCAUGUUACUUAAAUGCUAACAGUGCAUUUAAUCUUACUAUGAAUAGAGAAACAGCAGAGGAGACAACAACAUGAAGUUUGCAGUUUGUCCCAGGAUGCAUGGAGAGACCUAUCAGGAUCAAGCAGAAUUCAAGAAAUAGAGACUGAUUGACACUUUUUGCCAAAUCACUGCAAGAGUAAAAUAAAGAGGAAAAAAUCUCUGCAAAGACAUCAAACAACUGUUCAGAGGUGGUAGGAAUUAAUUCAGUGAUACAAAUAUGCUCUGAGUUUGUCCUGAAAGGUCAGUAUUACUGAAUUUUAUUUCCAAGUAACGUAUCCCAUUAUAACCCCAAUCAAAGUCAGUGGGCAAAGAUCAGGUCCAGAGUGAUCUAACAAGGGACCUGCUGCAUGUUUCUUUCAGCUAACUGUCUCUCACCAUGACUAUAUCUAGAGAUUUCAAAGGAAAAGGGGAAAACUCUAUUGCAGACAGUUUAUGAAACAAAUGACCCAUUAAAGAAGAUCAUUUCCUUACAAAGAAAGGAAAGUUGCCAAGGGAAAGAAACUUUCUCUGCAAGUUUACUCAGAUUAUUUUUGCUGGUUUUUACAGAUAUUAUUACUAUAUUAUUAUAUUAUAUUAUUUUAUUAUUAUUAUUACUUAUUAUUACUUAUCUUUGGCCCUUGGAGGGAUUUUACAAUCACUAUGAGAUCAUAAAAAAACCUGACCUAACAAUAAUAAUACCAAAAAAACCAGCCACCCAAAAAAACCCAAACAAACAAAACCAAACAAAGAAAGAGCCCCUCAAUGCUUUUAUAAAUUUAAAUAGCAAAAAGACAAACAUUUUAAUGGAAACAUUUUUUUCCAGAACUCUGUCCUUAAAUUAUUUUAGUCUUGGGUUUUGUACUCUUCAUUUUAAUCUUGUUUUUCAUUUCUGCAAAGCAGAGAAGCCAGCUAAAUCAUGGCAAUGUUCUGGAAAGGAAAUGGUUAAUAUCCAUGAAGAGGAAUAAGAAAUGCUAUGUUCUUUUUAUAAAGGGCAAUUUCUCACCCACAUGGGUAUUUGGAGCUCACAUGGAUCAGGUUUCCAAAUAACCCACAUUUUGAGUCUGGAACAAACCAUAUGCAAUAUGCAGAAGUGAACCAUCCUCAGCAGACUGGUUGUUUAAAGAGCUGCUGCUCAUUUCCACUGUCCAUUUUUAUCCAUCCCUUUUAAGUGGUCGCCAAACAAAGAAAAGAGUUAUUCUCUUCCGAAAGCUGGUAAGAUCUUAGGUAGAAGAAAAUUUGCAUUUAGCUGAAUGUUAAUUUUACAAUGCUGUCCAGCUAUAGCAGAGUAGUUUGCUUUUGCUUCCUCCCCACAACCAGCACACACAUAGUCAGGAAAGGACUACUGAACCUUCUCAACUUCUUUGAGCAAACUAAGCAAAACUGUGUCUCUAGGUGGGUUUUCUGCUUAAAGGAGAGAGACUUCACAGAACAAAUAAGAGUAGUCAAGGACAUUACACCAGAAGGGCGCUGCCCUUUGGGUUUGGCCAUAUCAGCUACAAGAAAUGAAAAUGUUUUGUGCUUCUUAGAGCUUUCCUUUGUGGACAUUUAUCAAGUUUUGCCUUUACUCUUUCCCUUCACAGCUUUCCAAUAAUCAUCUCAGCAUUCUCAGACUUUGGGAAAGGUCAAAUCCAGACCUAAAAACCAAUUGGUCAAAACCAAUUCCAAGUUUUAUGAGUUUGAUGUAAAAGCAUAAGUAAUAUUUGUUUUUGGAAGCAGCACAUGGGAUCCAAGUAACCCCAUAUUAGGACUGCUAUGGGUUUACAAGUCAUGGGGUCCUAAUUCAUUUACAAGUGGUGAAGGCUGGAUAGCUUGUGCCCAGUCUCCUGCUGGGUGAUACAGCAGAUUAGAUAACUAAUGCAAGUGUGUAACACAGGAACUUGUAAGUGGCAAGGAUUUUUUCUAAACAGUUAAAACAUCCCCUUUUACUUGCUUCUCAGUUAAUACACAAUUUCACACACAAAGAACAUUGUGCUCUCAGAUUGGAAAACCAUCUGAGAGAGUGAUGGGAGAAGUGGUGGAUGACUGCCUCAGGCAUGAGCCUCAGGGCAUGGGCAUCCUUAUGCUCCAUGGUGUCCUGCAAUGCUAAUGAGAGCACCAAAUGCCAUCCUAUUGCUACUUUUAAAAAAAUAUUAUUCUUAAUACCGUGUGUGCCCAAUUGUUUGGGCACUUCUCCUGUUGCUAUUUCCUCUGAAGUGUAACACAGAUGUUGAUUCACAUACAGAAGAUGCAGUAGGGGAAAACUGUGAUCUUAUUUCUCUAAUAUAGUGCAUUUCCUUAGCAGCAGAUGCCUUUUUACACUGAUCUCAUUCACACUGGAACUGUGUUUCCUCCUUCUGUAAAAAACUACUGCUUUUCUUUCUCCCAAAUCCUACCUGCCAUCCUUCCAUUAUAGGAAUUUAAUAAACAGGCAGAAAAAAAAAGCCAUUUUUUGUGCCUCAAAAAAUUCAAACUGCCAGUGGGUGAAACAGACUAAAGGCAUUGAUUAACAUGGUCUGGCAAAAGAUGAGCUCAAAGCAGAGCACCUUAUUCAAGAAACCCUCAACUGGCAUGAAUUGUCAUCAUCUACAUUCAUGCAAUAUUUGAUACCCAUGAACAGAUGGGAAAGAAAUCCUGCCUUUCGCAUGCUACAAUUCAAUGUGAUUUGGGGCAUUCACUGAAGUGAAUGUGAGCAGUUUUUAUCAUGUUGUGUUGGAAAACUGGCUAGUGUAGCCAGUAACCUGUUAAUUGAAAGUACACAUAUAAUGCUUGUAACUAGGUCCAUGCUACUGCACUUCAAAAUGUAGUGUAGGGAUGUUGGACCUUGGCAGGCCCAGGAUGAAUUUCCUGAUGUUAUAAGCUCUCUGACAAUUUUGCCUGUGCUUUCCAGGACAAUUUCCAAACAACCUGAGUCUGAAAAAGUGAAAAAUAGUCAGGUUUCUAGACAAAAUAUCAACUCCAGGAGAGUGGCUCAUUAUGAAAUAGCAGGGUUUGAAGGUCAGGGGUUUUCUUCUCCUUCCUUUUAGUACCUGGCUGUAAUCUAUAGACUUGCAUAAGACCAACUUUUAAACAAAGAGUUUGAAUAAAAACUGCUUUCAAGCUGUUUGACGGAGGGCUCUCUUUAGUGUUGGGAGCAAAAAGGAUUUAGAACAGGCACUUACUAAACCUUAAAAAAUAUUCAAAAAUAUUCUCAUACUACCUUUCUUUUGAUAAAAGAGUCCCACCUCAAUAAUUCUUUGCUACCUGAGUCUCUCAUCAGUAUGUAUUUUGUCUCUGUAGAAGUAAAUUUCCAGUUUCCAGUAUCACAGCAAACAGAAGUUAAAUCGAAAACUGUAUCUAUACUUUAAUUAUUUUAUGAUUCUUUUCACAUAAACCAUUUGCAUUUAUACUACCUAAAAUCUCUUCUACAAAGAUCCUUUGUAUGAUUCGCUAUUGCAACACAUUAAGAAGCAAAACUUUUUUGUUUACUGUGUACAUAAGAUAUAAACCCACAUAUUUCAUAAUAUGAUGUAAUAUAUAUAGUAAUUAUGUCUUAAUUAACUUUUUUUUUUAAGUGCUGCUAUGCCUUUUGGAACAGGAGAAGGAUCAAGUCUGUAAACGGUAGAAAGCCUAUGGUCUUCAAAAGUAGUUUGAGGAAACUUGAGUCUUUCAUCCUCUCCUUAGCACCCGUGAGGUCACCUCUGGAAACCCAUGAGCAUUCUCUUUUGCAAGAAACCAAAAGCCUUUACAGGUGUUCAUCCAGGUGAAGUCCUUGACUGGAGUAACACAGCACUCCAGUGACACGUGGGCAAUAAAAUCCAGAGCUCCCAGUUGUUGUGUCUCCCUAGGCUUCGUAGGGCUCCCCUCACUCCCAUCUGCACCCCAGAUCAUUUGUCCUUCUUCCCCUGCCCACUGCCCCUACAACACUGAGAUAUUUACCCAGGUUGAUUGUUUCACCGGUGAACUAUCUGCUCUUAUCAUAAUAAAGAGCAGUAAGUCACCUGGUCCUGAGGAAGGCUGGGGCUCCACUAGUUGACAUCACUUACAGCACCAAAGUGACUCCCAUUAAGCACAGCAGUGGAAAGACAGAUGUUAUGGUAAUAAGUGUAAAUUAUUUUACAAGCAAAAAUGAGAAUAUCUUUAUUCUAAUUCUUUAACUUUAGGCUGGGUUUUGUAUUAACUUAGAUUAAUGCAACAUGCUUCAACUAUUUUGUGGGUAUUCAAAAUAUUCUGUUCCAUUUCUUGGCUUGAAAACAGGCAAAGAAUAUGUAAUUUCCAGCUAUAUGACUUGUUUCUGCUUCUUCUGAAAUCCACAGGGAAAUCUUACCUUUGAAUUCAAUUUAAAGCUGCAGUAAUAAAGCUGGGAUGGAGACCUGGUCAGUGCUGGAGAUGGGAAAAUGAUAUAGAUGCUCAUUUUGUCUUAUGCAUCUUGCGUGGUAUGGCCACUCCUGACUUCAGUUUAUUUCAGUGGAAAUAACACUAAAUUUAAGGUUGUAGCCAAAAGUUGCUUUAUGCAAUGUUUCAAUAUAGCUAAUAUAUCUAAGUGUGAGAAUGUUCAGAUUGGUUAAAAAGCAUUUAUUGUUAAAAAAAUCAGAAUAUUCAGAUUCUAUAUUUCUUUUAUAACCAUAGAUCCCAUGAGAAUUUUAACAGCAGUUCAAAGUUAAUAGUAUUUCUUGCUCUUCAUGGUCUCCUCCAUAACUUCAAAUUGAGUCUAUGAUUAUUGCUGAUCUUUAUGAACUAAAUUGCUCAUAAUUCCUUAUUCAUUCAAGUUCGAACUUCAUAAUCUAAUGAAAGCCACUAAAUUAGAGAGCCCAGUCCCAUUGUAUCUUAGCUGACAGACUCAUAGAGGAAAUAAAUCAGCUAAUGAGAUGAAAUAAUCAGAUAGCUAAAAGACUGUACACAGAUUGCACUGUUGGAAGUCUAUUUUAAAAGAUAAGCUAAUUUAUACCCCUUAUAUUCCACUAUAACCCCCUAAAUUCAGAAGUGUCUGACACAGAGUACACUCACAAAUUCCUAUUUGAAAAUUGCUAAGGAAAGUUUCCAUUGAGGCAUUUCAUCAGUGCUGUCUAGUUCUCAGAGUAAGGAAGAAGGCACUGGAAGACCUGAGAUUUUUCCCCAGCACCGGCUUGUGUUGAGUCCAGCUUUUUUAUCCUUGUCUCUUUUGCUCUGGCACUUCCCAACAGCUUGCUGUCUCUGGCAUGCACCUCCAAGAGCAGAGUCAUCUCUGACAAAAAGCCAUGUAGGCAUCUGAGGGCCAAGUUCUCUGCUGAAACAGGCUGUGUAGCUCUACUGAAAGCUGUGAAAAUUUACUGAUUCUCACCAUAUGGAAACCAACCUCCAUCCUUAACUGUUGUUCGACCAAGUUUUUUCUCAACCAAGUGGUUCUGAUUUCAGAUGUGUAGCCUUGGGGGCAUGGGGUAGCCGCUGCAUGAAAACCUUUGUUACCCUUUGAAUUUUUGAUACAUAAUACCAUGGAAAAUUUAUUUAUCCUCUUCCUAUAUAUUUUGCUAUACAAAUGGAUUAUAUAAUUAUCAAGAAGAGAAAGAUCCAAGUAUCUAAAUUACACGUUUGCAACCAAGACGAAAGCUGUAGCUCUGUGGUUUCCUCACAGGAACUCAUAGAAAGUGAAAUAACAUUCCAUCUUACCCCUGUCUUCAUGAUUAGAUGAUGAAAAGAGUAUCUGUGCCAUGUUCCUAGUGCAGAUAGUUGUUUCUUCUAUUUGUAACAGAACAUGAGAUUGACUUCCAAAAUGCACUUAGGGUACAGUCACAGCUUCAUUUCACUAAAGAUGCUUGAAACUCCCACAUCAGCAGGCUUUCUAUAUAGACACUUCUGAUUCAUAUGGCAGUAUAGUCGAGUUGUAGUUAGUGUAUGCACUUAUAAAGGGAAAACUAUGACCACAUCCAUCUAGAAAUAAGCCCUGACUUUUUUAACUAUUACAUUGAAUCGUUAGGAGAGGCUUUGCUAUCUUCCUUAGUCUUCAUAAGCCAGGGGAAAAAACACAAAAAUGGCUCAUCACCCAGAAAAAUUGUUUCAUAAGGAUCUGGCCUUCGGUUUGAAAAGUGUGGGCAGAACACUGACCAAGUGGAAGGGAAACAAUUCCCCCUGUGGGAAUCAGAGUGUGGGUGCCGUGCAGGGCACUUUUGUGACCCACACAGUGGCUGCCACAUGCAUCAGACCAAGUAACAAUUCUUCCACCCUUGAAACUCAGGAAAAUAAUUUAUAUAUAAAAAAAAUCAUACAGCUCCCUGCUCAAAGCAAAUUCAAUCAUAAAGGACUUAUGCAGUGCUUAGCAGUAAGAAAAUCCAGGCUGCAAAAAUAUUAAUUGCCUUUAAAAUAAGAUAAAGAUGCAAUACUGAUAAAGCUAAAGAUAUCAGCUGUAAUGUAAUCACUGGACUUCUUGUUUAUUUGACUGACUUGAACCAUUUCAUCUUGAAGUGUUUUUAUACAAUGCACAUUGAUCAAUUUAUUCUGGGUAAGACAUCCACUGAAAUGAUGAUGGAAUUUAUGUCAGUGUGAGAGUGACAGUAACAUAUUUCUAUCAAUAAUAGUGAAGAAUAAUAUUAAAGAACACUGCAGAACAAAGUGCUCCUUUCUUAAGCCAUAAACCAAGACGUGGGCCUUGAGAAAUAGUCUGAUGUCAUUUUAGGAGGCAAACAUUCCACUAACGGUAUCAGAGUCAAAAAGUGCAUAAGGAAAUACAGAGAUGACAGUGUUUUUGAGAUUAAGAAGGAAUGUGUCUGUGAAGAGGUGAGUGAACAGUGUCAACGAGAACUACAUGAAGCAGAAAAACUCAUGGAGGAACAGGAUGACUCACGGGCAGCAUAGCUGGAAGCAAAAAGCUUGCAAGACACAUGAAAAAAAUGUCAAUUGUGAAGAAUGUCAACAAAUUGCAUCAUACAGCAUUUUGUGAACCAACACUUCACACGCAUAAACGAUCUCCACUGAAAUCUACUCUGAUGAAGUUUUUGGUCUGGUUUCCCCUCUUGCAAAAGGACCAGUUCUCUUCUGUACAGACACUUCGCAAAUACAACUCUUUAGCUGUUUCUAGGAGAUACUGCAGUAUCUCUUAAAAACUGUUUUGUUUUAUUAAGAACUCAAAGUGUCACAUUUCCAUACCACUGCAAUUACCAGGUAACAGUGUUUUUACUUCCAAAAUGCCAUUUCCAAGUUUAUCAUCUCUCCGUGACUUGUAAUUCUUCUGGAUAAACAUGUUUGAGAUCUGUGAUGGUCUCCCUGGUGAUGGUUGCCAUAGUGCUUCACAGGAUUUUAUUUCUGCUCAUUCCUCAAAAGCAGGACUGUGGUUCUCUGUGGGAGGCCCAGAGUUGCACCAGUCUCAGAUUUUAUUGCCUUUACCAUUCUGCCCCCACUAAGGAAUAAACCACCCAGACAUGCCACUGUCAUCUUUACUGUAUUCCAUCAACUCUGCUUAAAAUAAAUGUUACAAAUGAUU
This is a long non-coding RNA of Pseudopipra pipra, 7835 nucleotides long. RefSeq lists it as uncharacterized. Lineage: Eukaryota; Metazoa; Chordata; Aves; Passeriformes; Pipridae. The transcript has 4 exons. The record is from RefSeq and is a predicted model, not a curated record.